CCUACGGGCGGCAGCAGUGAGGAAUAUUGGUCAAUGGACGCAAGUCUGAACCAGCCAUGCCGCGUGCAGGAAGACGGCUCUAUGAGUUGUAAACUGCUUUUGUACGAGGGUAAACGCAGAUACGCGUAUCUGUCUGAAAGUAUCGUACGAAUAAGGAUCGGCUAACUCCGUGCCAGCAGCCGCGGUAAUACGGAGGAUUCAAGCGUUAUCCGGAUUUAUUGGGUUUAAAGGGUGCGUAGGCGGUCGGAUAAGUUAGAGGUGAAAUCCCGAGGCUCAACUUCGGAAUUGCCUCUGAUACUGUUCGGCUAGAGAGUAGUUGCGGUAGGCGGAAUGUAUGGUGUAGCUGUGAAAUGCUUAGAGAUCAUACAGAACACCGAUUGCGAAGGCAGCUUACCAAGCUACUUCUGACGUUGAGGCACGAAAGCGUGGGGAGCAAACAGGAUUAGAUACCCUUGUAGUC
This 460-nucleotide ribosomal RNA is filed under the name uncultured bacterium. RNAcentral's name for it is "partial 16S ribosomal RNA". It matches the Rfam family "Bacterial small subunit ribosomal RNA", at positions 338 to 795 of the family's 1533-position model. The record is from RNAcentral.